Eufriesea mexicana is the source of this 4071-nucleotide long non-coding RNA. RefSeq lists it as uncharacterized. Lineage: Eukaryota; Metazoa; Arthropoda; Insecta; Hymenoptera; Apidae. The transcript is spliced from 5 exons. The record is from RefSeq and is a predicted model, not a curated record.
AAAUAUAAUGGCCUAUGGAAGAGAUUAUAGGAUUCGAAUACUUUUCACAAAUAUAAUAGCCUAUGGAACAAAUUAAGUAUUAGAUUUGAAUUAAGUAUUUGGAAUUUGAAUACUUUUAAUAAAUAUAAUGCCUUAUGGAACAGGUUAAUUAUACCAUUGAACUAAAUACUUGGGAUUUGAAUAUUUUUAUUAAAUAUAAUGGCCAAUGGAACAGAUUAAGUAUCACAUUGAAUUAAGUAUUUGGGAUAUAAAUACUUUUCAUAAAUAUAAUGGCCUAUGGAAGAGAUUAGAGGAUUCGAAUACUUUUCACAAAUAUAGUUGCCCCCGGAACAGAUUAAGUAUUACUCUGAGUUAAGUAUUUGGAAUUGGAAUACUUUUAAUAAAUAUAAUACCCCAUGUAACAGGUUAAUUAUACCAUUGAACUUAAAUACUUGGGAUUUGAAUAUUUUUAUUGAAUAUAAUGGCCAAUGGAACAAAUUAAGUAUUACAUUAAAUUAUGUACUUGGGAUUCGAAUACUUUUCACAAAUAUAAUAGCCUAUGGAACGGAUUAAGUAUUACUUUGAAUUAAAUAUUUGGAAUUUGAGUACUUUUAAUAAAUAUAGUGCCCUAUGGAACAGGUUAAUUAUUCCAUUGAAAUAAAUACUCGUGAUUUGAAUAUUACUAGCAAAUAGAAUGACCCAUGGAACACACUGAGUAUUGGAUUGAAUUAAGUAUUUAGGAAUGAAUACUUUUCAUAAAUAUAAUGGCCCACGGAACACAUUAUAGGACUUCAAUACUUUUCAUAAUUAUAAUGACUCACGGAAGAAAUUAUAGGAUUUGAAUGCCUUUAAUAAAUAGAAUGGCCCACGGAACUGUUUAAGUAUUACUUUGAAUUAAGUAUUUGGAAUUUGAAUACUUUUAAUAAAUAUAAUGCCCAUAGGAACAGGUUAAUUAUUCCAUUGAACUAAAUACUUGGGAUUUGAAUAUUUUUAUUGUAUAUAAUGGCCAAUGGAACAGAUUAAGUAUUACAUUGAAUGAAGUACUUAUGAUUUCAAUACAUCCAGUUAAAAUAAUGGCCCUUGAAAUAGACUAAGUAUUGAAUUGUAUUGAACACUUGUGAUUUGAAUAUAUCUAUUCGAUAUAUAAUGGUCCUUUAAACACAUUAAGUAUUACUCUGAAUUAAGUAUUUAGGAUUUGAAUAUCAUUAAUAAAUAAAAUGACCCAUGGAACAAAUUUAGUAUUUAGGGUUUGAAUACUUUUAAUAAAUAGAAUGACCCAUGGAACAAAUAAAGUAUUUAGGAUUUGAAUACUUUUAAUCAAAGUACAAUGACCCAUGGAACACAUUAUGCAUUUGGGAUUCGAAUACUUUCAAUAAAUAGGGAGACUACAAUAAAAUCAAUAUCAAAUACAAUAAAUAGGUAUUUGAAUAUUUUUAACAAACAGAAUGGCCCAUGAAACAAAUUAAGUAUUUGGAAUUUGGAUACUUUUAAUAAAUAGGAUGACUCAUGGAGCAGAUUGUGUAUUUGGAACUUCAGAACUUUUACUAAAUAGAAUGGCGUAUCGAACGAAUUCAGUAUCAAAUUGAAUUAGUAAAUAGAAGGGCCAUGGAACAGCUUCACUAUAUGGAACUUACAUACUUUUAAUAAAUAGUAUAACCUAUGUGGAAUAGACUAAAUAUUAAACUAACUUAGAGCUUAAAUACUUUUAGUAAAUAUAAUAGCCUAUGGAACAGUUUAAGUUUUAAAUUAAUCCGAAUAUUUGAAAUUCAAACACUUGUAAAAGUUAUUAAAAGUGUUAGAAAAUGUGGAAUAGAAUAACAAUAAAAAUAGCAAUAAUUUACCAAUGAUAAAAUACUAAACAAAUAUACGUAUAUCUACAAGAUUAAUUCAACAGUACGGCAAUUUUAAUAAAAAAAAUACUAAAAAUAAUAAAAAAAUGAAUCUUGUAAAUACUAAGAGACACUGUAGGUAACGGUGCAUCAUAUUUUAUAUUUAAAUAAAUAGUCGGAGAAUCGAAUUAUGUAAAAUAAAAUUGUAAAAACAGUGUGUUAGAUGAAAUUCACAAAGUGAAACGUUUUACGAUUAAACAACGUUAUUACGUCAUUGUUAUAAUCGAAAUAAUCACACCUAUAUAAAACAAACGUAGUAAAGUUGACAAAGAUGUAUAAACGUGGCAAACGUAGUACAGUUUAAUAAAGAAAUAUAAAAUAGGAAUAAAUUACAGAAUUAAAAUGUUACGUAAAUUAGUGUUCAAAGAAAUAUUAAUAUAAUUUUCUAAGAUAAAUCCUACGUCUUAAAGCAUUUAAAAAGUCCUGUAAUUGCUGCUAACAACGGUACCUAUCAGCUACUGAGAAUACGAUAACAUUCGAAGAUUAAAAAACAAAACAUCAAUGAAGAUCAACAAAUGAGAUACGGGAAUCUUAACGAAAAAUUAAACUGUUCAGUCUGAUAUUUUAAAAGAUAGAAUAAAAGUAAUAAAGCAAUUACCACAAGUUACCACUGCAUAUUUAUUUAUUACAAUUACCCUUUACCCCUAUUCGAGGAAAAACGAAGUAAAUAGAAUCGAAGUUUGCAAAUAAAUGCCGGUUCGACAGGUGACCUCAAGUAGAUGUUCGAAAAAUUAGGAUCGAUUUGCAAAAAGAAUACCGGUAUUAUCUAUCAUUUAUUGAGAUUUGAGGGGAAAUGCAGGCCAGUUUUUUUAAUCUCGAUAAUUAGGGACAAAGAAAGAAAAAGGCAAACAGGAAAUACACGUAACCGAGGUCAGUUAUAUCGGCAUUAAGGACUACACAUUAAUAGCGGUAAUGACGAAUAAGUAGAUAGUUAAAUAUAUAAAUGGCUGCUAAUGGCAAUGACCGUUUACUCUUCCACUGUUAACCGAUAAUCAGAAUAAUAUAUAAUAAUAAUUAACUUGUAAGUGACAUUAAUCGUGUCCGUUGUGUGCAGUCAGUGCGGUCAAAUAGUAGAGAUAUUUAUCCUAAGGAUAAACUAAUUUAUCUUAAGAAUCAAUUAACGAGCGAAUCUGGGUGAUUAGAUUAACCGAUAGAACGAUAGAACAGGCCCGAUAAUUUAAACAUACAAAUUCGAGUAAAUUAAAUAAUUAAAUUACCUUGACGUUCGUUAAAGAGACCCCGUCACUUUUUGACUUAAGACAGAGAAAACGUGAAAUAGUAUACCAAAGAACAAGUAAACAUUUCCCAGUGACACGAAGUUUGCGCUCGGAGGAAAUUAAUAGUCAAAUGUUCGAUAGAUUUCGUAACCGCAGUUUCUUUCUUUCUACGCCUUUAGCGAGAGGUAUUUUGAAUCUAACUUUUUUUUUUUUUAACCGAUUCAUUUCUCCAAUGACAUGUCCAAGUGCGUUCGUCGAUCAGUAAGUUUCGUACGAUGAUAAACGAAGAAGCGAGUAUCGACAUUGUAUCGAGUUCUUAGUGUUGUGCAAAAUAGCAAAGAGAUGAGAAGAACCGAUCGUGGACAGUUUGGUUGGUUAUACAAGGUUCGUUAACAUCCUUCGAUCAACUCGAUUCCAAUUGCCAUAAUCGGCACUAACUUACCGCCGAUUAACUACGACACCUCGAUAACCUAACUCUAUCGGCGGAAUUAAAAAAAAAAAAGGAAUAAAAAUUUUGUAAAAAAGUAAAAAAUGCGGAUCGGAGGAAAUAAGUAAAGGGAAGCGAAAGUAGCCUAACAAAGGUUUGACCUGACGUUUUAGCAAACUUCGUUCUUCAGAAAUGCUAAUUAUAUUUGGUAUCAAAGAAUAACAAUUUAACUUAACGUUCUCGUAAAUGAAUUUCUACUUGUCGUAUACUAUAGACGAUAUUUUUUAACAAGGUUCUGUGCGAGGAAAAGUCCGUUAAGCCGUUAGCAGCCGUGCAAGCAUAUUUACCAAAGAGUUGCUUGCGAUUCUGCGCGGAUCGCGUGGCUCUCAAAGAUUGGUCCCCAAUACUCCGAAGUAUCGCCGAGAAUCGAAGUCUGUCGAGAAUUAAUAUCUAUAGUCGAAGUCGCUGCAAACGUGUACGGGAGAAAGUGAAUACGGAGGAUAAGCUCGAGAAAUUAUGGUAAUUAACGUGACUCGGAGGGUCUGAGAAUUUGAGCGAA